CUGGCUCAGAACGAACGCUGGCGGCAGGCCUAACACAUGCAAGUCGAGCGCGCCCUUCGGGGUGAGCGGCGGACGGGUUAGUAACGCGUGGGAACGUACCCUUUGGUAGGGAAUAGCCACUGGAAACGGUGAGUAAUACCCUAUGAGCCCUUCGGGGGGAAAGAUUUAUCGGCCAAAGGGAUCGGCCCGCGUUAGAUUAGGGUAGUUGGUGGGGUAAUGGCCUACCAAGCCUACGAUCUAUAGCUGGUUUUAGAGGAUGAUCAGCAACACUGGGACUGAGACACGGCCCAGACUCCUACGGGAGGCAGCAGUGGGGAAUCUUGGACAAUGGGGGCAACCCUGAAUCCAGCCAUGCCGCGUGAGUGAAGAAGGCCUUAGGGUCGUAAAGCUCUUUCGCCUGUGAAGAUAAUGACGGUAGCAGGUAAAGAAACCCCGGCUAACUCCGUGCCAGCCGCCGC
RNAcentral lists this ribosomal RNA (458 nucleotides) under uncultured bacterium. Its description in RNAcentral is "bacterial SSU rRNA". It matches the Rfam family "Bacterial small subunit ribosomal RNA", at positions 19 to 518 of the family's 1533-position model. The record is from RNAcentral.